UAGGUGAACCUGCGGAAGGAUCAUUAUCGAAAUUAUUGGUGAGGGUUGUAGCUGGCCUUUCGAGGCAUGUGCACGCUCGAGCCCUUAAUCCACUUUACACCUGUGCACUUAAUGUAGGUCGCCCUUAAAAAAGGUGACCUAUGUCUUAUCAUCAACCCAUCGUAUGUCUCAUAGAAUGUAAUCGAUAUCCUCGCCCURAAAAAGCGUUGAUAAACUUAUACAACUUUCAACAACGGAUCUCUUGGCUCUCGCAUCGAUGAAGAACGCAGCGAAAUGCGAUAAGUAAUGUGAAUUGCAGAUUUUCAGUGAAUCAUCGAAUCUUUGAACGCACCUUGCGCUCCUUGGUAUUCCGAGGAGCAUGCCUGUUUGAGUGUCAUUAAAUUCUCAACUCCAAGGGUUUCACRACCUUUCGGAGAUUGGACUUGGAGGUGCUGGCCGCAUAUUGGUCGGCUCCUCUCAAAUGCAUCAGCGGAAUUCAACCUUUGGCUUCCGGAUGUCAGUGUGAUAAUCAUGUAGCRCUGUCGUUUGAUCCCUCAGAGUCCGCUUAUAAUGGUCUUCGGACAAAAUCAUCAUCAAAUUUGACCUCAAAUCAGGUA
This 596-nucleotide ribosomal RNA is filed under the name uncultured fungus. RNAcentral describes it as "eukaryotic LSU rRNA". The stretch from base 222 to 376 matches the Rfam family "5.8S ribosomal RNA". Lineage: Eukaryota; Fungi. The record is from RNAcentral.